UGGGGAAUAUUGCGCAAUGGGGGGAACCCUGACGCAGCAACGCCGCGUGAAGGAAGAAGGAUUUCGGUUCGUAAACUUCUAUCAGCAGGGACGAAUAAUGACCGAUCUGACUAAGAAGCCCCGGCAAACUACGUGCCAGCAGCCGCGGUAAUACGUAGGGGGCAAGCGUUAUCCGGAAUUACUGGGUGUAAAGGGUGAGUAGGCGGUUUAACAAGUCAUGUGUGAAAAUUAGUUGCUUAACAACUAACGUGCACAAGAAACUGUUGAACUAGAGUACAGAAGAGGUAAGCGGAAUUCCUAGUGUAGCGGUGAAAUGCGUAGAUAUUAGGAAGAACACCGGUGGCGAAGGCGGCUUACUGGGCUGAAACUGACGCUGAGUCACGAAAGCGUGGGGAGCAAACA
This 402-nucleotide ribosomal RNA is filed under the name uncultured Lachnospiraceae bacterium. RNAcentral describes it as "partial 16S ribosomal RNA". It matches the Rfam family "Bacterial small subunit ribosomal RNA", at positions 355 to 774 of the family's 1533-position model. The record is from RNAcentral. Lineage: Bacteria; Bacillati; Bacillota; Clostridia; Lachnospirales; Lachnospiraceae.